CUUGUGCCGUGAUCCAAAGAAGAGAGGGGAGAGGGAGAGGAAGAGAAGAGAAGAGAAGAGGAUGAAGAUUAGGGCACGCCGCCAUCCGUCGUCGCCGUUCCUCUUCAAAAACCGUGCAGCGAGGUUGGAUGCAAGGAACAAGAGGGAACAGAGUGGAUUCGCCGUAGUUGUCAUCACCAUCACCGAUCCCUUUGUUUUUUUUCAAGGGCAAACCCUAGGUGGUGCACCUUCGGACCGUGCUUAGCUCACAUUCUUGAUCUUCGGUGAAGGCAAGUAAACAUAGCGAUAUGGUCUACUCGCUUUAACUUUGUUAUUUGAAUUGCCUC
Molecule: long non-coding RNA, 326 nt
Organism: Panicum virgatum (switchgrass)
Lineage: Eukaryota; Viridiplantae; Streptophyta; Magnoliopsida; Poales; Poaceae
Exons: 3
Source: RefSeq, a predicted model, not a curated record